GAUGAACGCUAGCGGCAGGCUUAACACAUGCAAGUCGAGGGGUAUUUAUCUUCGGAUAGAGAGACCGGCGCACGGGUGCGUAACGCGUAUGCAAUCUACCUUUUACAGAGGGAUAGCCCAGAGAAAUUUGGAUUAAUACCUCAUAGUAUAUAGACUCGGCAUCGAGAUUAUAUUAAAGUCACAACGGUAAAAGAUGAGCAUGCGUCCCAUUAGCUAGUUGGUAAGGUAACGGCUUACCAAGGCUACGAUGGGUAGGGGUCCUGAGAGGGAGAUCCCCCACACUGGUACUGAGACACGGACCAGACUCCUACGGGAGGCAGCAGUGAGGAAUAUUGGACAAUGGGCGCAAGCCUGAUCCAGCCAUGCCGCGUGCAGGAUGACGGUCCUAUGGAUGGUAAACUGCUUUUAUACGAGAAGAAACACUGCUACGUGUAGCAGCUUGACGGUAUCGUAAGAAUAAGGAUCGGCUAACUCCGUG
RNAcentral lists this ribosomal RNA (478 nucleotides) under uncultured bacterium. Its description in RNAcentral is "partial 16S ribosomal RNA". It matches the Rfam family "Bacterial small subunit ribosomal RNA", at positions 28 to 507 of the family's 1533-position model. The record is from RNAcentral.